RNAcentral lists this ribosomal RNA (500 nucleotides) under uncultured bacterium. RNAcentral's name for it is "partial 16S ribosomal RNA". It matches the Rfam family "Bacterial small subunit ribosomal RNA", at positions 30 to 523 of the family's 1533-position model. The record is from RNAcentral.
AUUGAACGCUGGCGGAAUGCUUUACACAUGCAAGUCGAACGGCAGCACGGACUUCGGUCUGGUGGCGAGUGGCGAACGGGUGAGUAACAUAUCGGAACGUAUCCAAUAAUGGGGGAUAACGAGUCGAAAGAUUCGCUAAUACCGCAUACGCCCUACGGGGGAAAGCUGGGGACCUUCGGGCCCGGCGUUAGUGGAGCGGCGGAUAUCUGAUUAGCUAGUUGGUGAGGUAAAGGCUCACCAAGGCGACGAUCAGUAGCUGGUCUGAGAGGACGACCAGCCACACUGGAACUGAGACACGGUCCAGACUCCUACGGGAGGCAGCAGUGGGGAAUUUUGGACAAUGGGCGCAAGCCUGAUCCAGCCAUUCCGCGUGAGUGAAGAAGGCCUUCGGGUUGUAAAGCUCUUUCGCAAGGGAAGAAAACUUAGCCACUAACAUUGGUUGAGGUUGACGGUACCUUGAUAAGAAGCACCGGCUAACUACGUGCCAGCCGCCGCGGUAA